This 72-nucleotide transfer RNA is filed under the name Anguilla anguilla (European eel). RNAcentral's name for it is "tRNA-Asp". Lineage: Eukaryota; Metazoa; Chordata; Actinopteri; Anguilliformes; Anguillidae. The record is from RNAcentral.
UCCUCGUUAGUAUAGUGGCCAGUAUCCCCGCCUGUCACGCGCGGGUGACCGGUUCGAUUCCCAGGCAGGGAG